GUGGGGAAUAUUGGACAAUGGGCGCAAGCCUGAUCCAGCCAUACCGCGUGGGUGAAGAAGGCCUUCGGGUUGUAAAGCCCUUUUGUUGGGAAAGAAAUCCUGUCGAUUAAUACUCGGUGGGGAUGACGGUACCCAAAGAAUAAGCACCGGCUAACUUCGUGCCAGCAGCCGCGGUAAUACGAAGGGUGCAAGCGUUACUCGGAAUUACUGGGCGUAAGGCGUGCGUAGGUGGUGGUUUAAGUCUGCUGUGAAAGCCCUGGGCUCAACCUGGGAAUUGCAGUGGAUACUGGAUCACUAGAGUGUGGUAGAGGGAUGCGGAAUUUCUGGUGUAGCAGUGAAAUGCGUAGAGAUCAGAAGGAACAUCCGUGGCGAAGGCGGCAUCCUGGGCCAACACUGACACUGAGGCACGAAAGCGUGGGGAGCAAACAGGAUUAGAAACCCUGGUAGUCC
This 450-nucleotide ribosomal RNA is filed under the name uncultured bacterium. Its description in RNAcentral is "partial 16S ribosomal RNA". It matches the Rfam family "Bacterial small subunit ribosomal RNA", at positions 354 to 796 of the family's 1533-position model. The record is from RNAcentral.